RNAcentral lists this ribosomal RNA (643 nucleotides) under uncultured Actinomycetes bacterium. RNAcentral describes it as "bacterial SSU rRNA". It matches the Rfam family "Bacterial small subunit ribosomal RNA", at positions 232 to 885 of the family's 1533-position model. Lineage: Bacteria; Bacillati; Actinomycetota; Actinomycetes. The record is from RNAcentral.
CGCGGCCUAUCAGCUUGUUGGUGGGGUGAUGGCCUACCAAGGCGACGACGGGUAGCCGGCCUGAGAGGGCGACCGGCCACACUGGGACUGAGACACGGCCCAGACUCCUACGGGAGGCAGCAGUGGGGAAUAUUGCACAAUGGGCGAAAGCCUGAUGCAGCGACGCCGCGUGAGGGAUGACGGCCUUCGGGUUGUAAACCUCUUUCAGCAGGGAAGAAGCGAAAGUGACGGUACCUGCAGAAGAAGCGCCGGCUAACUACGUGCCAGCAGCCGCGGUAAUACGUAGGGCGCAAGCGUUGUCCGGAAUUAUUGGGCGUAAAGAGCUCGUAGGCGGCUUGUCACGUCGGAUGUGAAAGCCCGGGGCUUAACCUCGGGUCUGCAUUCGAUACGGGCUAGCUAGAGUGUGGUAGGGGAGAUCGGAAUUCCCGGUGUAGCGGUGAAAUGCGCAGAUAUCAGGAGGAACACCGGUGGCGAAGGCGGAUCUCUGGGCCAUUACUGACGCUGAGGAGCGAAAGCGUGGGGAGCGAACAGGAUUAGAUACCCUGGUAGUCCACGCCGUAAACGUUGGGAACUAGGUGUUGGCGACAUUCCACGUCGUCGGUGCCGCAGCUAACGCAUUAAGUUCCCCGCCUGGGGAGUACGG